This 688-nucleotide long non-coding RNA is filed under the name Ursus americanus (American black bear). RNAcentral's name for it is "lncRNA (ENSUAMG00000017481.1)". The record is from RNAcentral. Lineage: Eukaryota; Metazoa; Chordata; Mammalia; Carnivora; Ursidae.
AACACCACAGAAGUAUGUCAUUGGGGGGAGGCGAAGAAAGGAUGUCAUUGGAUUAGACUGACGGUGUCCUUCUCCAGGAGACCGCCCCAUCCCCUUGGCACCAACCCCACCGGCCCUCCCUCUGGGAGGAGAGGAGACAUUUGAUUCAUCUUUACAUGAAGUUUUCAAGUGCCCGAAGCCCGUGGCUCGCUCUUUAAUGCACGUGCGGAACAUCGAAGUCCGUCUUCAUAACCCGUACACCUUUGCCCGAUGCCUGAAACAAAUACUUGCUGGACCAAAAAUAUUUUUCCCUGUCCUGCGCCUAUGUGUCCUAAGGCGAAGAACUUGGCACAUGUCUCCUUUCUCCACUGGGUCUCACGCGGCUGCUGUAGCGCUCGGCCCUUGCAGAGAGCGGACGACCGUUUCUGUCGUGUGCAAAGCCUGCCCUUGAAGAUAAUCCGCCAUUCCACGCAAUGUCCUGUGUUCCAAGUUUCAGUUAAGGAUCUGCUUUUUAAGGGACGCCUGAGUGGCUCAGUCGGUUCAGCAUCCGACUCUCGAUUUCAGCUCAGGUCGUGAUCUCAUGGUCGUGGGAUUGAGCCCUGAGACAGGCUCCGUGCUCUGCGUGGAGCCUCCUUGAGAUUCUCCCUCUGCCCCUCCCCCUGUUCUUGCUCUCUCCUAAAUAAAUGAAUUUUAAAAAAUAAUAAUAACA